UGUUAGAUAUUUUGUCUUUACAGUAUUACCUUUUGGUUUGAGUUCUGCGGGAUACAUUUUCACAAAAACAUUAAGACCUUUAGUAGCACAUUGGAGAGCUUGUUCUUUUCCUAUAAUUAUGUACUUAGACGAUGGUUGGCUAUGCGACACAAAAGAAAAUUGUAUGUAUAUGUCAAACAUCAUUCAGGCGGAUCUAUCGCGCGCAGGUUUUCUUGUUAAUCAAGAUAAAAGUGUAUGGAAACCUUCUCAGAAAUUAGAUUGGCUGGGUUUUGAGUGGGAUAUGUGUCAAGGUGUUAUUAGUAUUCCACUUAACAAAUUAGAAAACCUGCGUGCGAAGAUUUUAAACAUAAAAACAAAAAAGCAUGUUUCAGUCAGGGAUCUAGCGUCUGUUGUCGGCUCGAUAAUUUCUUUCAAGUUUGCUUUAGGUCCAAUAUGUCAAAUGUUUACAAGGCAUCUUUCCAUUGUUAUUGCUCAAAAAGCUUUUUGGGACCAAAUUUUUUGAAAUACCUAAGCCGGCAGCCGACGAGUUAGAAUUUUGGCUUGAAAAUCUUUUGUACGUGCCCAAUAGAGUUAUCUCUCCUUGGUUUCGAAGUCCGGACAGAAUAGUGUUUACUGAUGCGAGCGAUUUCGCCGGAGCGGGCGUAAUGCUUGAUUCAAACAAAGAGUAUUUUCACGCAAUGUGGGACGAUUUUGAAAAAACGCAAAGUUCUACAUACAGAGAAUUAAAAACAGUUUUUCUUUUCAUCAAGACUUUUUUAGUCAUGUUCUGCGCAACAAAUUUGUGAAGUUAUAUUCAGAUAAUCAAAAUGUAAUUAAAAUUGCACAAACAGGUAGCAUGAAAGAUGAAUUGCAAAAAUUAGCUUUUUCUAUUUAUGCCAUGUGUCUUUUGAAUAACAUAGAAUUAUCUGUAGCGUGGAUUCCCAGAGAACACAACAAAGAAGCUGAUUUUUGUAGCAAGUUUUUUGAUUUUGACGAUUGGGGUGUAAAUCAGAGUAUUUUUAAAUAUUUUGAUCAUAUUUGGGGACCAUUCACUUGCGAUACUUUUGCUAGCUCUUUUAAUUUCAAAGUCAAAAAAUUUUAUUCCCAGUUUUGGACGCCAGGUACUAGUGCGGUUGAUGCUUUUGCAUUCGACUGGUCUCAGGAUUUAAGUUGGUUAGUACCUCUGAUACAUUUGAUAAGCAAAUCCAUUAACCAUAUCAUACAUUGCGGUGCUAAGGGUGUUUUAGUAGUGCCUAAAUGGAAAUCUUCUGUUUUUUGGCCAUCUAUUGUUGAUAUUUCAGGAAAAUUUAGAUGGUUUAUUAAGAAAUAUGUUGAGUAUGAAAAACCUGCAAAUUUUUUCAGUGCAGGUUCUGACAGAAAUAGUAUAUUUGCUGCAGAAAGGUUUAAUAGUAAUGUAUUUGUGCUAAAAAUAGAUGCAACGUCGCAUUAGUACUUAGGAUUUUGCAUGUGCACAUGAACAUUAAAAAAAAAAAAAAAAAGAGAGAUGACUGUUUUCUCAUAAUAAUAAUAUGAUGGAUUUAGAACAGAACUUUUACGUGUGGAGGACUGUACUCCCAAAAGAGAUGACUGUUUUCUCUUAUAAUACACUUAGAAUUAUGUAUGGUGGAAUAUAUUCGUAUAAAAAAGAGAUGACUGUUUUCUCUUAUAAUAUACUUAGAAUUAUGUAUGGUGGACCGUAUUUGUAUAAAAGAGAUGACUGUUUUCUCUUUAUAUGUAGAUUUUGAUUAAUCAAUAGAGGAGGACUGUACUCCGAUUUAUGUUGGAUUAUACUGCAGAACUGUCAUGGCCAUUGGUGUGAUGUUUUGAAGUUUAAACAACAUCCUCAACUGGGUGCUCUAGUAGAUUUGUUGCCUCAGGUCGUGAAGUGUGCGAAAUCGGACUCGACAAAUCAAAAAUACGAUUCUUACUUCAGACGAUUUGAGAGUUGGUGUUCACAACAUAAUUUUCAACAUCUUCCAGCUUCUGUGUCCACUGUUUCCUUGUUUCUCGGUAGCGUAAUCCAGCAAAGAGUGUCGUCUUCAGUUUUAGAUGCUUAUUAUUACAGCAUUAAGUGGAUUCAUUCUCAAGCAUCAUGUGUGAAUCCGUGUGAUGAUCAUUUUUUACAGCUCAUUCUUGAAGGCGGAAAAAGAAUUCUUUCAAAACCAGUGAAUAAGAAAGAACCAAUUACUACGGAAAUUCUAAUAAAACUCAAGGAUGAAUACUUUAAGGAAUCGGACAACGCUUUAAAGUUACGAACAUUCCUCAUGUGCCUUUUGGGUUUUUCUGGAUUUCUACGUUAUAGUGAAUUGUCAAACAUUCGUUUGUGUGACAUAAAAUGGAAAGAAGCCUACAUAGAAAUAAAGAUUCCAAAAAGUAAAACUGAUGUGUACAGAAGAGGGAACGUGAUUGUCAUUGCAAAACCUGGGAAUGAUUUGUGUCCGAUUUCUUGGUUAAACAAAUAUAUUGCAUUAUUACAGCUAAGCGUUACUUCAAGUGAUUAUUUGUUUACAAGUAUUAACUUUAAGAAAUCUUUAGGGGUUUACAAGUCUUGUAAUACGUCAAAACCUUUGUCUUACACUAGAGCAAGAGAAAUUUUGUUAUCUGCAUUAAGCAGUAUUGGCCUUGACAGUUCUAAGUAUUCAUUGCAUAGUUUGCGGAGCGGGGGUGCUACCGCUGCUUCUAACAAUAAUGUCCCAGAUAGACUUCUGAAAGCUCAUGGUCGUUGGUCUUCUGAUAAAGCGAAGGAUGGGUAUAUUGAGGACAAUAUUCAGAAAAAGCUUUAUGUGUCUAUGAAUCUGGGUUUGUAGUCAACAUUCCUAAAUCACCUUUGUUUGUUUGCGAUCUUGUAACGAACGCACCUAACCUAAUCUAUUUGUUGUUGUUUUUCAAACUAGUCAAGAAAAGAUUUAUUUUCGGAGGAGUUUACGAGGGAGAAAAUAAAUGAAUUUCUUUACGUUUUUGAGUUUCGUAUUACGGAAAUGUCCGAUCUAUUCAUAGUAAUUUUUGCAUGCACGAGUGAUUUGGCGCUUACUAUAAAUAGUGUUCCAGGCGUGUUUUUGGUCAUUGCGAAGUUCGUUACAAGAUUUCAAGGACAUACAUUUCCCUUCCCAUCCCCGCCCUAAGAACUAUGCAAUGCAUUGUAUUUAAUCAUUAUAUACAUGUACAAUUAUGUUUUUGUCGAUGUUUGUGUCAAUUAAUAUAAAUUGUGUUAUAUAUUAAGUCAUUAAAAGUUGAUUGUUGAUUAUAAAUGCGAUCUUGUAACGAACGCACCUAACCUAA
Molecule: RNA transcript, 3258 nt
Organism: Saccostrea cuccullata (small rock oyster)
Lineage: Eukaryota; Metazoa; Mollusca; Bivalvia; Ostreida; Ostreidae
Exons: 2
Source: RefSeq, a predicted model, not a curated record